RNAcentral lists this microRNA (22 nucleotides) under Macaca mulatta (Rhesus monkey). Its description in RNAcentral is "mml-miR-944". Its record names the gene mml-miR-944. The record is from miRBase by way of RNAcentral. Lineage: Eukaryota; Metazoa; Chordata; Mammalia; Primates; Cercopithecidae.
AAAUUAUUGUAUAUCAGAUGAG